Molecule: ribosomal RNA, 24 nt
Filed under: Gjaerumia minor
Lineage: Eukaryota; Fungi; Basidiomycota; Exobasidiomycetes; Georgefischeriales; Gjaerumiaceae
Description: partial 18S ribosomal RNA
Source: RNAcentral
AAUUGCAUAGGAGCACCACUCUGU